This 495-nucleotide ribosomal RNA is filed under the name uncultured bacterium. RNAcentral's name for it is "partial 16S ribosomal RNA". It matches the Rfam family "Bacterial small subunit ribosomal RNA", at positions 28 to 507 of the family's 1533-position model. The record is from RNAcentral.
GACGAACGCUGGCGGCGUGCCUAAUACAUGCAAGUCGAACGCUGAAGGAGGAGCUUGCUUCUCUGGAUGAGUCGCGAACGGGUGAGUAACGCGUAGGUAACCUGCCUGGUAGCGGGGGAUAACUAUUGGAAACGAUAGCUAAUACCGCAUAAUAGUAGAUGUUGCAUGACAUUUGCUUAAAAGGUGCAAUUGCAUCACUACCAGAUGGACCUGCGUUGUAUUAGCUAGUUGGUGGGGUAACGGCUCACCAAGGCGACGAUACAUAGCCGACCUGAGAGGGUGAUCGGCCACACUGGGACUGAGACACGGCCCAGACUCCUACGGGAGGCAGCAGUAGGGAAUCUUCGGCAAUGGACGGAAGUCUGACCGAGCAACGCCGCGUGAGUGAAGAAGGUUUUCGGAUCGUAAAGCUCUGUUGUAAGAGAAGAACGAGUGUGAGAGUGGAAAGUUCACACUGUGACGGUAUCUUACCAGAAAGGGACGGCUAACUACGUG